GGGCCCGCACAAGCGGUGGAGUAUGUGGUUUAAUUCGAUGCAACGCGAAGAACCUUACCAGGGUUUGACAUCCUGCGAAUUUCUGGGAAACCGGAAAGUGCCUUCGGGAGCGCAGUGACAGGUGGUGCAUGGCUGUCGUCAGCUCGUGUCGUGAGAUGUUGGGUUAAGUCCCGCAACGAGCGCAACCCACGUCUUUAGUUGCCAGCAUUUAGUUGGGCACUCUAGAGAGACCGCCGGUGAUAAACCGGAGGAAGGUGUGGAUGACGUCAAGUCAUCAUGCCCCUUACAUCCUGGGCUACACACGUACUACAAUGGCCGGUACAGAGGGCAGCUACAUAGCGAUAUGAUGCA
This 351-nucleotide ribosomal RNA is filed under the name uncultured bacterium. RNAcentral describes it as "bacterial SSU rRNA". It matches the Rfam family "Bacterial small subunit ribosomal RNA", at positions 917 to 1269 of the family's 1533-position model. The record is from RNAcentral.